CCUACGGGAGGCAGCAGUGGGGAAUAUUGCACAAUGGGGGAAACCCUGAUGCAGCAACGCCGCGUGAGUGAAGAAGUAUUUCGGUAUGUAAAGCUCUAUCAGCAGGGAAGAAGAUGAAGGUACCUGAAUAAGAAGCACCGGCUAACUACGUGCCAGCAGCCGCGGUAAGACGUAGGGGGCACGCGUUAUACGGAUUUACUGGGUGUAAAGGGAGCGCAGGCGGCAGUGCAAGUCUGGAGGGAAAGCCCGGGCCCCAAACCCGGAACUGCUCUGGAAACUGUGCGGCUAGAGUACUGGAGGGGCAGGCGGAAUUCGUGGUGUAGCGGUGAAAUGCGUAGAUAUUAGGAGGAACACCAGUGGCGAAGGCGGCCUGCUGGACAGUAACUGACGUUGAGGCUCGAAAGCGUGGGGAGCGAACAGGAUUAGAUACCCUUGUAGUC
RNAcentral lists this ribosomal RNA (440 nucleotides) under uncultured bacterium. RNAcentral's name for it is "partial 16S ribosomal RNA". It matches the Rfam family "Bacterial small subunit ribosomal RNA", at positions 338 to 795 of the family's 1533-position model. The record is from RNAcentral.